This is a long non-coding RNA of Perognathus longimembris pacificus (Pacific pocket mouse), 1388 nucleotides long. RefSeq lists it as uncharacterized. The transcript has 2 exons. Lineage: Eukaryota; Metazoa; Chordata; Mammalia; Rodentia; Heteromyidae. The record is from RefSeq and is a predicted model, not a curated record.
UUGAUACAAUCUUCUGUUGACAUUCAUUAAUAGUCUCCAUAACAAAAUGCAAGAGGUAGAUUUGAAAAUAUCUAAAACUCAUUCCAACUUCCAAUUAGUCAGUCAGACUAUAAAUGUAAUUAGACAGUCAGAAUAGAACAGAGAUGUUAUGUACUAAGCCCUAAGAAUUCUGAGCUAGCAGAAUGAAAAAUAAAAUAAAACCAUAUCCUAUCUCCUAAAUUCCUUAACAAUUUAUCUGACAGAAGUAUUUUUAAAAACCAACUACUCUACCUAAAACACAGUUUAUCUUGAGGGUAAGUCAAUGGUUUAGUUCUUAGCUUCUUAAUUGCUAGACAUUUCAAAAAAUAUUUUCACAUAAAAUGAAAAUAAACCACAGUGUGGCAUUUAAUGUAUUUUCAUUCAUGUUUCUGACUCUUCAUUAUAGGAGGCUCCUAUUAGAUGGAGAUAACCAAUAUAUCAAAUAAGGGGAAAAAUCCACUAACUCAGUGAGUAGUAAUUAACAAGUCUUUCAAGUUUAUUUUUCUACUGUGGAAAAUGCGAAAGAAAGCUAAGGAAAUAUAUCAAAACUCCUUAGUCUAAAACUCUGAAUUGCUAUCUCUUAUUAAAAGGACAAACAACUAAAUGUCUUCAUCAAAGUAAUGUAACUCAGCUUUGCUGUCAGUAAGCAGGAAGAAAACUGAAAGAGCCGAAUGUUAAGAAGAAAAACAAAACAAAAUAAUACUUUGCUAAAAAUAUCCCCCAAAUUAAAACCAUAAUGCAUGCCUGUGUAAUUCUAACUAAUGACUUCUAUACUCUGUGCAAUAAAAGGCAAGAAUAAGUUAAAAGUUAAGUACUCUCUGAAAUUCACAGGAAGCAUAUGGUCAGGAUCAAAGCUGCCCGGGCUAGCUGAGAAACUAAAACUGACUUAAAAUCCUAGGUCCAUUCAUCUGGAGACCAAAUUCUGACUGACCUUAAGCAGUUCACAUGACAUCAGACUCUGUCUCUGUAAAAUGUUAUGGUAAUAAAGCCUACGACUCAUGAGAAAGUAACUAGAUUUAACAUUAACAUUUCUAACGGAUACUGAUUAACAAGAGUCAUCAUCACGGUUUGAUUUGGAAGUUAGAAGAACCUACCUGCUUACAACUUUCUUCCAAAUAACAAGUAUCUCAAUAAUGGUUUCCACAGGAAAAUACAAUCAACACUAAUGCAACAGAUCUAAUACAAUGUGAGAAUAGGUUUUUAAGAAGAGGAAGAGAGAAGGGAGGAAGGGAAAGAGGAGGGAGAAGAGAAGGAAAAAGAGGAGGAGAAGGAGAAAGAAAAGUAAAAAGAGACAAAAGAAUGUGAAUUCCUAGAAUGAGAAAAAAUAGGUUGAAAUUUCAAAUGUAAGACACAAACAUUAGUUUGGGGAU